AGUGAACGCUGGCGGUAGGCCUAACACAUGCAAGUCGAACGGCAGCACAGAGGAGCUUGCCCCUUGGGUGGCGAGUGGCGGACGGGUGAGGAAUACAUCGGAAUCUACUCUGUCGUGGGGGAUAACGUAGGGAAACUUACGCUAAUACCGCAUACGACCUACGGGUGAAAGCAGGGGAUCUUCGGACCUUGCGCGAUUGAAUGAGCCGAUGUCGGAUUAGCUAGUUGGCGGGGUAAAGGCCCACCAAGGCGACGAUCCGUAGCUGGUCUGAGAGGAUGAUCAGCCACACUGGAACUGAGACACGGUCCAGACUCCUACGGGAGGCAGCAGUGGGGAAGAUGGGACAAUGGGCGCAAGCCUGAUCCAGCCAUACCGCGUGGGUGAAGAAGGCCUUCGGGUUGUAAAGCCCUUUUGUUGGGAAAGAAAUCCAUCUGGUUAAUACCCGGGUGGGAUGACGGUACCCAAAGAAUAAGCACCGGCUAACUUCGUGCCAGCCGCCGCCGUAA
This 506-nucleotide ribosomal RNA is filed under the name uncultured bacterium. Its description in RNAcentral is "partial 16S ribosomal RNA". It matches the Rfam family "Bacterial small subunit ribosomal RNA", at positions 29 to 523 of the family's 1533-position model. The record is from RNAcentral.